This 1258-nucleotide ribosomal RNA is filed under the name Cytobacillus oceanisediminis. RNAcentral describes it as "bacterial SSU rRNA". It matches the Rfam family "Bacterial small subunit ribosomal RNA", at positions 140 to 1421 of the family's 1533-position model. The record is from RNAcentral. Lineage: Bacteria; Bacillati; Bacillota; Bacilli; Caryophanales; Bacillaceae.
GGCUCAGGCUGGAUCACCUCCUUACGGUUUGAUCCUGCUAAUACCGGAUAAUUCUUUCCCUCACAUGAGGGAAAGCUGAAAGAUGGUUUCGGCUAUCACUUACAGAUGGGCCCGCGGCGCAUUAGCUAGUUGGUGAGGUAACGGCUCACCAAGGCAACGAUGCGUAGCCGACCUGAGAGGGUGAUCGGCCACACUGGGACUGAGACACGGCCCAGACUCCUACGGGAGGCAGCAGUAGGGAAUCUUCCGCAAUGGACGAAAGUCUGACGGAGCAACGCCGCGUGAGUGAUGAAGGUUUUCGGAUCGUAAAACUCUGUUGUUAGGGAAGAACAAGUACCGGAGUAACUGCCGGUACCUUGACGGUACCUAACCAGAAAGCCACGGCUAACUACGUGCCAGCAGCCGCGGUAAUACGUAGGUGGCAAGCGUUGUCCGGAAUUAUUGGGCGUAAAGCGCGCGCAGGCGGUUCCUUAAGUCUGAUGUGAAAGCCCCCGGCUCAACCGGGGAGGGUCAUUGGAAACUGGGGAACUUGAGUGCAGAAGAGAAGAGUGGAAUUCCACGUGUAGCGGUGAAAUGCGUAGAGAUGUGGAGGAACACCAGUGGCGAAGGCGACUCUUUGGUCUGUAACUAGUCCACGCCGUAAACGAUGAGUGCUAAGUGUUAGAGGGUUUCCGCCCUUUAGUGCUGCAGCAAACGCAUUAAGCACUCCGCCUGGGGAGUACGGCCGCAAGGCUGAAACUCAAAGGAAUUGACGGGGGCCCGCACAAGCGGUGGAGCAUGUGGUUUAAUUCGAAGCAACGCGAAGAACCUUACCAGGUCUUGACAUCUCCUGACAACCCUAGAGAUAGGGCGUUCCCCUUCGGGGGACAGGAUGACAGGUGGUGCAUGGUUGUCGUCAGCUCGUGUCGUGAGAUGUUGGGUUAAGUCCCGCAACGAGCGCAACCCUUGAUCUUAGUUGCCAGCAUUCAGUUGGGCACUCUAAGGUGACUGCCGGUGACAAACCGGAGGAAGGUGGGGAUGACGUCAAAUCAUCAUGCCCCUUAUGACCUGGGCUACACACGUGCUACAAUGGAUGGUACAAAGGGCUGCGAGACCGCGAGGUUAAGCGAAUCCCAUAAAACCAUUCUCAGUUCGGAUUGCAGGCUGCAACUCGCCUGCAUGAAGCCGGAAUCGCUAGUAAUCGCGGAUCAGCAUGCCGCGGCGAAUCUGUUCCCGGACCUCGUCCUUAGAGUUUGAUCCUGCCUCAGGCUGGAUCACC